GCGCGCAGGCGGUUCUUCAAGUCAGGGGUGAAAGCCCAGAGCUCAACUCUGGAAUUGCCUUUGAAACUGUAGAACUUGAGUACGAGAGAGGUGAGUGGAAUUCCCAGUGUAGAGGUGAAAUUCGUAGAUAUUGGGAAGAACACCGGUGGCGAAGGCGGCUCACUGGCUCGUAACUGACGCUCAUGCGCGACAGCGUGGGGAUCAAACAGGAUUAGAUACCCUGGUAGUCCACGCCGUAAACUAUGAACGCUAGCCGUUAGGCAGCUUGCUGCUUAGUGGCGCAGCUAACGCAUUAAGCGUUCCGCCUGGGGAGUACGGCCGCAAGGUUGAAACUCAAAGAAAUUGACGGGGGCCCGCACAAGCGGUGGAGCAUGUGGUUUAAUUCGACGCAACGCGCAGAACCUUACCAGGGUUUGACAUCCCAAGACCGCUUCUGAAAGGAAGUUUUCCCGCAAGGGACUUGGAGACAGGUGCUGCAUGGCUGUCGUCAGCUCGUGUCGUGAGAUGUUGGGUUAAGUCCCGCAACGAGCGCAACCCUCGCCUUUAGUU
Molecule: ribosomal RNA, 549 nt
Filed under: uncultured bacterium
Lineage: Bacteria
Description: bacterial SSU rRNA
Rfam family: Bacterial small subunit ribosomal RNA
Source: RNAcentral